Molecule: ribosomal RNA, 431 nt
Filed under: uncultured bacterium
Lineage: Bacteria
Description: partial 16S ribosomal RNA
Rfam family: Bacterial small subunit ribosomal RNA
Source: RNAcentral
AACGAACGCUGGCGGCAGGCUUAACACAUGCAAGUCGAGCGCCCCGCAAGGGGAGCGGCAGACGGGUGAGUAACGCGUGGGAACGUACCUUUUGGUUCGGAACAACUCCGGGAAACUGGAGCUAAUACCGGAUAAGCCCUAACGGGGAAAGAUUUAUCGCCGAAAGAUCGGCCCGCGUCUGAUUAGCUAGUUGGUGAGGUAACGGCUCACCAAGGCGACGAUCAGUAGCUGGUCUGAGAGGAUGAUCAGCCACACUGGGACUGAGACACGGCCCAGACUCCUACGGGAGGCAGCAGUGGGGAAUAUUGGACAAUGGGCGCAAGCCUGAUCCAGCCAUGCCGCGUGAGUGAUGAAGGCCUUAGGGUUGUAAAGCUCUUUUGUCCGGGAAGAUAAUGACUGUACCGGAAGAAUAAGUCCCGGCUAACUUCGUG